RNAcentral lists this unclassified non-coding RNA (232 nucleotides) under Hevea brasiliensis (rubber tree). The record is from RNAcentral. Lineage: Eukaryota; Viridiplantae; Streptophyta; Magnoliopsida; Malpighiales; Euphorbiaceae.
AGGAAGUUCAUAUAUUGUACUUCAAUAACUGGUUCAAUUUCUUGGAUCGGUUGACCACACGCAACCUCAAGGUUUGAUUGAUUUUUAGAACAUGCAAUAUUGCCACAGAAUGCAGCUUGAUCUUAGGUUCUCAGUAUUGCUUUUACCUUUGCAGCUUCACUCCAUUUGUAUUUUUAUUUUGAAGUAAUACGGAUCCUUGACUUCCAGUUUCAUUUUCAGAUUGCAAUUUUUA